AGAGUUUGAUCCUGGCUCAGAAUCAACGCUGGCGGCGUGCCUAACACAUGCAAGUCGAACGCGAAAGCCCGCAAGGGUAAGUAGAGUGGCGCACGGGUGAGUAACACGUGGACAACCUGCCUUCGAGUGGGGAAUAACCUUCCGAAAGGAGGGCUAAUACCGCAUAACACCUUGGAACACAAGUUCUGGGGUUGAAAAGAGCAAUUUGCUCGAAGAGGGGUCCGCGCCUGAUUAGCUAGUUGGUGAGGUAACGGCUCACCAAGGCUUCGAUCAGUAGCCGUCCUGAGAGGGAGCACGGCCACACUGGAACUGAGACACGGUCCAGACUCCUACGGGAGGCAGCAGUGGGGAAUUUUUGGCAAUGGGCGAAAGCCUGACCAAGCAACGCCGCGUGGGUGAUGAAGUAUCUUGGUACGUAAAACCCUUUCGGCAGGGACGAACCUAAUGACGGUACCUGCGAAGAGCC
This 466-nucleotide ribosomal RNA is filed under the name uncultured Acidobacteriaceae bacterium. Its description in RNAcentral is "bacterial SSU rRNA". It matches the Rfam family "Bacterial small subunit ribosomal RNA", at positions 8 to 494 of the family's 1533-position model. Lineage: Bacteria; Pseudomonadati; Acidobacteriota; Terriglobia; Terriglobales; Acidobacteriaceae. The record is from RNAcentral.